UCCAGCCCAACCUUCCUUGCCCACUCCUCUCGAUCCCAUCGUUCGUGGCCGCCGCCGUCCGAGGGGAGUCGCCGCCGCCGCGUCUCUCGAUCCCAUCGGCCCCGUCGGAUCUCGCCGCUGGCGGACGACUCGAGAAGACCCCGCCGGAUCUCGCCCUCGUCAUCAGUUCUGGAUCGCCGCCGCCGAUCCCCUCCGGAAAACAACGCCGAUCCCCUGCUCGCCCACGCACGCUGCCGCGGAUGAAGGCCGCCUGCUCGGGAUCCCCAAACCUGCUGGCGCCGCGCUCCGUAGGAUCCAAGUACGCCCCUCUCCGUGGUGUUCACUGAUUGCUUGGAGCAACAACGUGCCGUUGGAGUUGCCGAAGCAUUAGGUGAUUCGAUUGUGUGCGUUUGCUGGAUUUGUUUGACGAAGGAAAGAUGACGAUGAAGGACACACAGAGGAGUGUGAGCGGUGAUGGUAUCAAGGUUACCGGCAGGUAUGCAUGCAGGAACUGACUGUACAGUGUUCCUAUAAUGCUACUGGUUUUAACGUCUGUACUGUGAUGCUACUGGCAGUUUAAAUAAAUCUGCUAUCAUUUGGGAUGUGAGUUGUCACAACUCGCUGUGCUCUGGUGUUCAGCUCAGAAUUUCUUUUGGGAAUGAUUCCUCUGAAUAGACUACUUAUGCUUGACAUUUUACUUUUGUUAUUUCUAUUUGUAACUCAAUUUCGGUAUCCUCUCAAAUUGACAAUACUUUUUCUGGAUAUGGUAGUUGAGAAUAGUUAUGGUAUAUAGCGGAGUUAGCGCAUCCUCACCAAUGACUCUUCCUCAGGGAUUUGCUGAACUAGAGUUAGUAAUGGGGGUAUUGCAGACUGUUUAGAAUUAUGGGGGUAUUGCAGACUUUAGAAACUGAAUUAAAUUUUUGUGCAAUUGAAAAAGGUGUAUACAACUUGAAUUUAUUAGGUAGUAUAGAAGAGAUAUGAAAUUUUAAAAUUGUUAGUCAGAUUUGUGUGUUGUUUUGGGUAGUAUUCAGUUUUGUUCCAUCUGAGAGGCCAAUAAUGCACAUGUGAUAUUAUCUACAUAAUUCAGUUUAUACGGCUUCCCAUAUUCCAAUGGUUGUAUUUUGCUAAAUUGCCAUCUACUUACUGGAAUUCUCACAAAUAGAAGUGCAGUCAGAAGGUAAAAAGGAUGGUAUGGUAUGUCUCCAUUCACAUGGUACUGAACUGUUAGUGAUUCUUUGUGUUAUUCUGCAGACUUGAACUUAGUUUCUAUGGUUUUCUUUUUCUGUUCAUAGACGAGAGUAUAGUCUGAAGGGAAAAAUUGGUAUGCUCUGAAGGGUGUGCAAGAACAGUGAGAUUUAUAUUACUGAAUGUAUUGUUAACAAUUUGUUAUUUUGCAGACUUGCUCUCAGUUUUUAUUCUUGGCAGGUGAUUCUUCAUGAUAAUUUUUUGUAGAGGAACAUUUUUGCGAUGGGGCUGGGAACGGUGAUCGGUGGUGCUGGUGUCGGCAGUGCGGUACAAGGUCAGGAUGCGGGAUGGGACGGCCAUCCGUGUGAGGCAGUCGGCGGCGAGGGUUUGUGGCAUCACGAGGAGCGCCCACGGAUUCAAGGUGUUGGCCCGAGACCUCCGACGAGGGAGGAGACGAUGUUAGUAUUUCCAUAGGAAAAAAACAAGAGAAGAAGAACAAGAACAACGACGGCAAUCUCGGGUUCCAGGUACGAUGGAGCCGGCGGCGAAGCGCAUGGCGCUCGCAAACGUGAUAGUGGAUGGCGACGAUACCCUCAACUGCGGCAUCUGCUACCUCCCUCUCAAGCCACCAGUCUUCUAGUGUGGCGUCGGUCAUACCAUAUCCUCGCGGUGCCACGACAAGAUGGUGGCGGCAAGGAGGUGCCGUGUGUGUCACAUCCGGUUGACCGGCGGCUAUCGCUGGAACAUCGCACUGGAGAGGCUAACAGAGUCCAUCCGGGUGCCGUGCGCCAACGCCGCCCACGGCUGCACUGCCACGCCGGCCUACUAUGACCACCCCGACCACCUCAAGGCGUGCCCUCACGACGCCAUGCUAUUGCCCGCAGGCAGACUGCGGUUUCGCUAGCUCCACGGCGGCACUCCUGGACCACUUUGCCGACACGCACGGGUGGCCGUGCAUGACCGAGCUUGGGCCUGGGCGUGCAUCGAGGUCCAGCUCUGUGACGGCUUCAACGCCUUCUCGGCCCGUGCCCAAUGCCGGCAGUACCUGUUCCUGCUGAACGUGGCGUUGAACCCGUUUGGCCGAGCGGUCUCCGUGCUCUCCCUGCAUCCUCGGGCGUUGUCGGGGGCGCCAUGUUCUUUGGAGUUUGAGAACUCAGAUUUAUGACAAGGACACAAGCAAAUUUAUAGCAUCCGUUGUGAUGAUACAAGGGAAGUAAGCAUAGAUGCGCUCAACGUGAUGAUAGGUGGGAGAGCUCGGCCUAUGCUGCCAACUGAUCUGCAACGGUGCAGAAGGAGAUUUCAAAAGCAGGGCAAGCGAGAGCGACUGUUCUAUUGAUGGUCAAAAGGGAGGGCUUGGCAAGAGAGAUUGAGGGAGCUCUACUACCUCGAUCUUGGCAUAGAACCUGAUGGCAUCAUGCCCAGGAAACUUCCUUCUUCAGUAUGUAUGGGGAUUUAUAUGACACCAAAAGAGAAGUCCGGCGUGUUUCUUGGUUCUAUGGAACCCCUCGACCGGAAGCAAAUAGAUCACAUCGCAAGUUGCUUGCCCAAUAUAAUCGUGCCGCAAGUUACCAACAUCGCGUGCUUAUACACCAUCGACUUUGCUGGAAAUCUAUCUGUCCGUGCUCCACCGUCUGUCGGAACUUCUUCUGCCCAUGCUACACCUGAGGGAGUGAAAGAGAAGCAAAAACCGGCCAGCUGAGGGGAUCUGAAUCGUAUUUGUUGCCAACCUGCAGCAAGCUAGUUCCAAUAUUCAAAUGUUAAUAGAUGACACUUGCAGAAAAUAUAAUGAGGAGUUGUCAUAUAUUCAAAUGGAAUUUCAGCCAAGUUGGAUUUGAGGCGAAGGAAGGAGGCGACCUCUCAGCAAGGUGACGGUUCUACCGAUGGAGACAUAGCAUGUUGGGAGAAGAGAACUUAUACGCACACAAUUUGGCACAGGGAGGCACGAAGAAGUCUUCAUAUAUUUCUAAAGUAGCAUGAGCAAGGCCACACUCUAUUUUUGAACAAGUUGUGUCCCAUCCUCUGGGACAUCUUCAGUUAAUUGGCGAGCACUCCUUGUCCAAACAGGGUUGAUUAGCUCUCUGCAGUCCGAUCAACAUGCAUCAUGUGGUAACGGCCAUGGUGAAGAUCAGCCCAAUUAUCUCGAUUCAUGUAUUGGUAUCCCAGACGGUGGUCAUAUAUUGAUGCGGCAUCUGCGGGAUCUAGCCAUCAGGCAUGCUUACCGAAGAUAUGGCCCGUGUACAGCGACAUGCAGAUUACCGUUUUGGUCAAUAUGUGGCGGCAGUUAGGAUGCUCCACAUAGAUGCAACUCGCAGGGUUUGACAGUUUGACUACCUCACCAAAGAUGCAGCAUUUGUUGUACAUUGAGUUUGAACGUGUUACAGGUCAUUCCAUAGUCAUCAUAAUUUUUACUAAGAAUCAGCUUGGUGCUCUAUAUCUGUAAUCCAGGCACCGCUGAAUCUCUACAGUAGAGUUGUGUUAGCAACCUCAACAAUGAAACACAUGCCAGCUUCUUUGAUGUCUAUUUGAGGCUCAAGCUAUAUAUCCUUUUCCAUGUCCCACCAUGUUAGUCAACAGGAUUAGUUAUGUUUUGAUGUAAUUGACUUUCAUGAUGUAUCCUACUUAUUCCAGAUACAUGCUUAAACUAGGAUCAUCUACAAUGGAUAUCUUAUCAUUAUCUCACAAUUAAAUUAAUAUAUGAUGCCUAGACUCUGAAUAUAAUCAUAUGCUUAUGUCAUGUAGAAUAUAACGACUUCCUCUAUUUUUAGAACAAUAUGAAAUAGAGUGUAUAAUACGUUCUUUGUUUUUCUGGCCAGACCUGAAAUGUUGAGGGAAGAUUCAGAGUACACGUGGAUCAGUAUUUGUCGCCUAUAAUCCUAUAUAUUAUAAAUAAAAAAAUUCCAAUAGCUUUUGUUAAUUUUGUGUUUGAGUGUAUUGCUUGCAGAUAUGCUGCGAACGAUCAUGCAUGCUAAUAAUUAUUGAUUGCUGAUAUUUGUUUAGAUGUUUUCUUAGCGUUGCUCUAGCAUAAUAGGGCUUAUUUUACUUGCUGUUGUUGGUAAAUAAAUACAACAGUAUGUUCUCAAUUUGAUAUGGUUUCAAUGGAAA
This is a non-coding RNA of Aegilops tauschii subsp. strangulata, 4266 nucleotides long. The record is from RefSeq and is a predicted model, not a curated record. Lineage: Eukaryota; Viridiplantae; Streptophyta; Magnoliopsida; Poales; Poaceae.